Small nucleolar RNA from Arvicanthis niloticus (Nile rat), 132 nucleotides. RefSeq annotates it as small nucleolar RNA SNORA17. Lineage: Eukaryota; Metazoa; Chordata; Mammalia; Rodentia; Muridae. The record is from RefSeq and is a predicted model, not a curated record.
UUUGCCCCUAGGGGCAUUUUAGAUGUGGCUGCUGUGUCACAGGUGCUUCUGUAGGUGGCAGAGAGGAGAGAGGCUGUGUCUACACUCAGCGUUCUGACCUGUGAACAUCUGAAUGGUUAGUAGCCUAACAUC